GAUGAUUUAAGUAUCAUUGUGACGCUUUAAGUAUCAUUGUGACAUUCAGGGGCGUGCUGUAUUCUGAAUCUAGCCCUGAGUCAAAAGACACAAUGAAUUAUGACAAAAGUGGGUGUAUUCCAGAGAUGGGAGGUUAGAAAAUAAUACGAAAAUGAUAUUAUUCUGACCUUACUCUAUUACUCAGCCCCAAUUCCCCCACACUUUGUGAACCUUUUUGUGAGUACAAUGCUAAGGCAGUUUAAAAAAAUGCAACUAUAUACAAGUUCAUCAAUUCCAGAUGUAAAGUCAAUAGCAAUUCAAGUGAUGACCACAGCAGUAACCUGGAGACCUGCAGUCUCAAUGUAUCAGGUAAAUGACGGUCCUGAGGAACAGAUGUCAGGACAUCAGAUGUGAAGUUAAAGGAUCCAUCUAAAGACUAUCUGUGGCGACCAAAGGGAGCCACAGUGAGGCAGCCAAACGUGAGCACUGAGAUGAAGGAAAUAGGCCCGAAGCAGCCUGCUCAUGCUCUGAGACUGGAGGAAGAGGGUGAACGCAAUCUCUGGAGGGAAGCCCUGACUUCAGGCAGCUCAGGCACAGAAUGACCCAUUACACUGAGUAGAUACUCCCGUCUGCUAUCAGAUGCCUGCCUAGUGUCACAGCAUCUCAUCUGCAAGAUGACUCACAUCUCGUCUGUGAGAUAACCUACAAUCUGGGUUACAUGCAUCUGCAGCACCUCAUCUGCAAGAUAACCCCCAAUCUGGGUUAUAAGCACAGAACUCAUCUCCUCAGGAAAUGAUAUCAAAUAAUAAGAAAUAAAUUGCUUGCCUUGCAUAAAAAGAGCCAUUCAAUAAAUGUUGUAUUAUAAUCUGAGAAUUGAACAAGGCCUAUGAAAAAGUC
RNAcentral lists this long non-coding RNA (876 nucleotides) under Homo sapiens (human). RNAcentral describes it as "HSALNT0380774". Lineage: Eukaryota; Metazoa; Chordata; Mammalia; Primates; Hominidae. The record is from RNAcentral.